RNAcentral lists this unclassified non-coding RNA (337 nucleotides) under soil metagenome. RNAcentral's name for it is "partial contains 5.8S ribosomal RNA, internal transcribed spacer 2, and large subunit ribosomal RNA". The stretch from base 1 to 120 matches the Rfam family "5.8S ribosomal RNA", at positions 35 to 154 of the family's 154-position model. The record is from RNAcentral.
GAUGAAGAACGCAGCAAAAUGCGAUAAGUAGUGUGAAUUGCAGAAUUCAGUGAAUCAUCGAAUCUUUGAACGCACAUUGCGCCCGCCAGUAUUCUGGCGGGCAUGCCUGUUCGAGCGUCAUUUCAACCAUCAAGCCCCCGGGCUUGUGUUGGGGACCUGCGGCUGCCCGCAGGCCCUGAAAACCAGUGGCGGGCUCGCUGUCACACCGAGCGUAGUAGCAUCAUCUCGCUCAGGGCGUGCUGCGGGUUCCGGCCGUUAAAAAGCCUCUAAUACCCAAGGUUGACCUCGGAUCAGGUAGGAAGACCCGCUGAACUUAAGCAUAUCAAUAAGCGGAGGA